AGAGUUUGAUCAUGGCUCAGGAUGAACGCUGGCGGCGUGCCUAAUACAUGCAAGUCGAGCGAACCACUUCGGUGGUGAGCGGCGAACGGGUGAGUAACACGUAGGUUAUCUGCCCAUCAGACGGGGACAACGAUUGGAAACGAUCGCUAAUACCGGAUAGGACGAAAGUUUAAAGGUGCUUCGGCACCACUGAUGGAUGAGCCUGCGGCGCAUUAGCUAGUUGGUAGGGUAAAGGCCUACCAAGGCGACGAUGCGUAGCCGACCUGAGAGGGUGAACGGCCACACUGGGACUGAGACACGGCCCAGACUCCUACGGGAGGCAGCAGUAGGGAAUCUUCGGCAAUGGGCGAAAGCCUGACCGAGCAACGCCGCGUGAAUGAUGAAGGCCUUCGGGUUGUAAAAUUCUGUUAUAAGGGAAGAAUGGCUCUAGUAGGAAAUGGCUAGAGUGUGACGGUACCUUAUGAGAAAGCCACGGCUAACUACGUGCCAGCAGCCGCGGUAAUACGUAGGUGGCGAGCGUUAUCCGGAAUUAUUGGGCGUAAAGAGCGCGCAGGUGGUUGAUUAAGUCUGAUGUGAAAGCCCACGGCUUAACCGUGGAGGGUCAUUGGAAACUGGUCAACUUGAGUGCAGAAGAGGGAAGUGGAAUUCCAUGUGUAGCGGUGAAAUGCGUAGAGAUAUGGAGGAACACCAGUGGCGAAGGCGGCUUCCUGGUCUGUAACUGACACUGAGGCGCGAAAGCGUGGGGAGCAAACAGGAUUAGAUACCCCGGUAGUCC
This 775-nucleotide ribosomal RNA is filed under the name uncultured bacterium. RNAcentral describes it as "bacterial SSU rRNA". It matches the Rfam family "Bacterial small subunit ribosomal RNA", at positions 8 to 796 of the family's 1533-position model. The record is from RNAcentral.